This 453-nucleotide long non-coding RNA is filed under the name Rattus norvegicus (Norway rat). Its description in RNAcentral is "long non-coding RNA NONRATT025619". The record is from RNAcentral. Lineage: Eukaryota; Metazoa; Chordata; Mammalia; Rodentia; Muridae.
GGAGAAACCUGCCACGUAUGAUGACGUCAAGAAGGUGGUGAAGCAGGCAUCCAAGAGCCCACUAAAGGGCAUCCUGGGCUACACUGAAGACCAGGUUGUCUCCUGCAACUUCAACAGCAACUCCCACUCUUCCACCUUUGACACUGGGGCUGAAUUGCUCUCAGUAACAACUUUGUAAGGCUCAUUUCCUGGUAUGACAAUGAAUAUAGGAACAGGGUGGUAGACCUCAUGGCCUACAUGGUCUCCAAGGAGUAAGAAGCCCUCGACCACCCACCCCAGUGAGGACACUGAGAGCAAGAAAGAGGCUGUUGGUUGCUGUCCUCACUCGGCCCCCAAUACUGAGCAUGUCUCACGAUUUCCAUCCCAGACCCCUUUAAUAGCAGGAGGGAACUAGGGAGCCCUACCUAUUCCCUUGAAUAUCAUCAAUAAAGUUCCCUGCACCCACCUCAAAAA